RNAcentral lists this ribosomal RNA (389 nucleotides) under uncultured bacterium. RNAcentral's name for it is "bacterial SSU rRNA". It matches the Rfam family "Bacterial small subunit ribosomal RNA", at positions 32 to 416 of the family's 1533-position model. The record is from RNAcentral.
AACAAAACGCUGGCGGCGUGCCUAAUACAUGCAAGUCGAACGGGGAAAGUAGCAAUACGAGUACUAGUGGCGCACGGGUGAGGAAUACAUGGGUAAUCUGCCCUCGAGCUCGGGAUAACCAGUCGAAAGACUGGCUAAUACCGGAUAUGACCACAAGAUCUGAGGAUCAAGGGGUAAAAGGUUUUUCGCUUGAGGAUGAGCCCAUGUGGGAUUAGCUAGUUGGUGUAGGUAACGGCUCACCAAGGCGACGAUCCCCUAACUGGUCUUAGAGGAUGAUCAGUCACACUGGAACUGAGACACGGUCCAGACUCCUACGGGGAGGCAGCAGUAGGGAAUAUUGCACAAUGGAGAAACUCUGAUGCAGCGACGCCGCGUGAGUGAUGAAGGCC